UGCAGCUUAAUGGUAAGGCAUCUGUUUUGCAUGCAGAAGGUCCCAGGUUCGAUUCCUGGUAACUCGGAAAAA
RNAcentral lists this transfer RNA (72 nucleotides) under Sphaerodactylus townsendi. RNAcentral describes it as "tRNA-Ala". The stretch from base 4 to 59 matches the Rfam family "tRNA", at positions 9 to 63 of the family's 71-position model. Rfam says of the family: Transfer RNA (tRNA) molecules are approximately 80 nucleotides in length. Their secondary structure includes four short double-helical elements and three loops (D, anti-codon, and T loops). Lineage: Eukaryota; Metazoa; Chordata; Lepidosauria; Squamata; Sphaerodactylidae. The record is from RNAcentral.